RNAcentral lists this ribosomal RNA (440 nucleotides) under uncultured bacterium. RNAcentral describes it as "partial 16S ribosomal RNA". It matches the Rfam family "Bacterial small subunit ribosomal RNA", at positions 338 to 795 of the family's 1533-position model. The record is from RNAcentral.
CCUACGGGGGGCAGCAGUGGGGAAUAUUGCACAAUGGGGGAAACCCUGAUGCAGCGACGCCGCGUGAGUGAUGAAGUAUUUCGGUAUGUAAAGCUCUAUCAGUAGGGAAGAAAAUGACGGUACCUGAGUAAGAAGCCACGGCUAACGACGUGCCAGCAGCCGCGGUAAUACGGAGGGGGCACGCGUUAUCCGGAUUUACUGGGGGUAAAGGGGGCGUUGACGGCAGCACAAGUCUGGUGUGAAAUGUCGGGGCUUAACCCCGGAACUGCUUUGGAAACUGGGCAGCUAGAGUGCAGGAGAGGUAAGUGGAAUUCCUGGUGUAGCGGUGAAAUGCGUAGAUAUUAGGAGGAACACCAGUGGCGAAGGCGGCUUACUGGACUGUAACUGACGUUGAGGCACGAAAGCGUGGGGAGCAAACAGGAUUAGAUACCCCUGUAGUC